CCUACGGGGGGCAGCAGUGGGGAAUAUUGCACAAUGGGCGCAAGCCUGAUGCAGCCAUGCCGCGUGUGUGAAGAAGGCUUUCGGGUUGUAAAGCACUUUCAGCGGGGAGGAAGGCGGUGAGGUUAAUAACCUCAUCGAUUGAUGUUACCCGCAGAAGAAGCACCGGCUAACUCCGUGCCAGCAGCCGCGGUAAUACGGAGGGUGCAAGCGUUAAUCGGAAUUACUGGGCGUAAAGCGCACGCAGGCGGUCUGUCAAGUCGGAUGUGAAAUCCCCGGGCUCAACCUGGGAACUGCAUUCGAAACUGGCAGGCUAGAGUCUUGUAGAGGGGGGUAGAAUUCCAGGUGUAGCGGUGAAAUGCGUAGAGAUCUGGAGGAAUACCGGUGGCGAUGGUGGCCCCCUGGACAAAGACUGACGCUCAGGUGCGAAAGCGUGGGGAGCAAACAGGAUUAGAUACCCUCGUAGUC
Molecule: ribosomal RNA, 465 nt
Filed under: uncultured bacterium
Lineage: Bacteria
Description: bacterial SSU rRNA
Rfam family: Bacterial small subunit ribosomal RNA
Source: RNAcentral